Molecule: ribosomal RNA, 481 nt
Filed under: Eremidium nr. equuleus PKF-2004
Lineage: Eukaryota; Metazoa; Arthropoda; Insecta; Orthoptera; Lentulidae
Description: partial 16S ribosomal RNA
Rfam family: Archaeal large subunit ribosomal RNA
Source: RNAcentral
GUCUGACCUGCUCACUGACAAGGGUUUAAAGAGCCGCGGUAUUUUGACCGUGCAAAGGUAGCAUAAUCAUUAGCCCCUUAAUUAGGGGAUGGGAUGAAUGGUUUGACGAGGAAUUUUCUGUCUCUUAUUAAUACAUAAAAUUUAACUUUUAAGUUAAAAGGCUUAAAUUUGACUUAAGGACGAGAAGACCCUAUAGAGCUUGAUAUUUUAUUUUUAUAUAAUUUUUAGUUAAUUAUUAUAUUUAACAAAAAUAUUUAGUUGGGGUGACUUGAAGAAUAAUUAAACUCUUCAUUAUGAAUUCAUUAAUUUAUGUUUAUUUGAUCCAUAAUUUGUGAUUAUAAGAUUAAGUUACCUUAGGGAUAACAGCGUAAUUAUUUUUGAGAGCUCAUAUUGACAAAGUAGAUUGCGACCUCGAUGUUGGAUUAAGAAAAAUAUUGGGUGCAGUAACCCAAAAAUUAGGUCUGUUCGACCUUAAAUUCUU